Molecule: ribosomal RNA, 459 nt
Filed under: uncultured bacterium
Lineage: Bacteria
Description: partial 16S ribosomal RNA
Rfam family: Bacterial small subunit ribosomal RNA
Source: RNAcentral
CCUACGGGUGGCAGCAGUGAGGAAUAUUGGUCAAUGGUCGGGAGACUGAACCAGCCAAGCCGCGUGAGGGAUGAAGGUACAGAGUAUCGUAAACCUCUUUUGUCAGGGAACAAAGGCGGGGACGUGUCCCCGGAUGAGUGUACCUGAAGAAAAAGCAUCGGCUAACUCCGUGCCAGCAGCCGCGGUAAUACGGAGGAUGCGAGCGUUAUCCGGAUUUAUUGGGUGUAACGGGUGCGCGGGGGGUCUGUGAAGUUAGCGGUCAAAGCCCGGGGCGAAACCCCGGCCCGCUGUUGACACUGGCAGUCUGGAGUGGGAGAGAAGUAUGCGGAAUGCGCGGUGUAGCGGUGAAAUGCAUAGAUAUCGCGCAGAACUCCGAUUGCGAAGGCAGCAUGCCGGCUCCACACUGACGCUGAGGCACGAAAGCGUGGGUAUCGAACAGGAUUAGAUACCCGAGUAGUC